Long non-coding RNA from Amphibalanus amphitrite, 495 nucleotides. RefSeq lists it as uncharacterized. The transcript has 3 exons. The record is from RefSeq and is a predicted model, not a curated record. Lineage: Eukaryota; Metazoa; Arthropoda; Thecostraca; Balanomorpha; Balanidae.
CCAGACGUUCGGCCGAGGUGACUGGUCGGCGCUGACUUCAGCGGUCUACGAAGAAAGCCGAGCCAGGAAUGCAUAGAACUCCUUGCCGCGAGGCUCAAAUCUAAGUUCAAGAACCAGCGGAAGCGGUGUGGGAGCCCCAUCGUGGUAGAACUGAGGAAGCAGCAUGCCGACAAGCGCCACAAGUCGGACUCCCUGCUCCCCGGGUACUCACCUCCCGUCGAAAACCCGUCUCUUGACGAUCAGCGAUCCAUCAACCGCAUGUGUAAUGCGCCAGACGUCUCAGAAGAAGACGUCAAACGGCUGAUGGCGUCUACAUUCGCGGUGCGCCGGCAGGAGGUCAUCAAGGGCACUGCCAUGCGACGCCUUCAAAAACGGUUUCCAAAACUGUUCUCGCAGGAGCAGCUCUGGCUGGAGAUGGGACGCAUCACGGGCACUGAAGACGCGGAUGGAUUCAGAGAAGCAUGCUUCCGCCGCCUCGAUACCUGGCUGGAUCGU